RNAcentral lists this ribosomal RNA (439 nucleotides) under uncultured bacterium. RNAcentral's name for it is "bacterial SSU rRNA". It matches the Rfam family "Bacterial small subunit ribosomal RNA", at positions 958 to 1398 of the family's 1533-position model. The record is from RNAcentral.
AACGCGAAGAACCUUACCUACCCUUGACAUCCAGAGAAUUUCCCAGAGAUGGGAGAGUGCCGCAAGGAACUCUGAGACAGGUGCUGCAUGGCUGUCGUCAGCUCGUGUUGUGAGAUGUUGGGUUAAGUCCCGUAACGAGCGCAACCCUUAUCCUUAGUUGCCAGCAUUGAGUUGGGGACUCUAAGGAGACUGCCGGUGAUGAACCGGAGGAAGGCGGGGACGACGUCAAGUCAUCAUGGCCUUUAUGGGUAGGGCUACACACGUGCUACAAUGGGCGGUACAGAGGGCAGCGAAAGCGCGAGCUGGAGCCAAUCCCGAAAAGCCGUUCGUAGUCCGGAUCGGAGUCUGCAACUCGACUCCGUGAAGUCGGAAUCGCUAGUAAUCGCGAAUCAGAAUGUCGCGGUGAAUACGUUCCCGGGCCUUGUACACACCGCGUGUC